GGCGUAAAGGGUGUGUAGGCCGACAAUUCCCCCCAAGGUGGUAAAUGGAAUUUUUCUGUAACGGUAGAAUGUGUGGAUAGAAAAUAGAACCCCAAAGGCAAAAGCAAUUUACCUCGGGGAAGGGGGGGUGAAAAUCUGAUAUUCCCGAUCGGGACCUAUCACUCCACCCCCCCCCGAGCACAGGCUGAAACACGAGGGUGUGGGUAACAAACAGGAUUAGAGACCCUGGUAGUCCACACUGUAAACGAUGAAGAAAAUGUUAAUGCAACCCCGAAAGGUAGUAAUCUUCCGCCUGAGUAGUACGAUCGCAAGAUUAAAAUUCAAAAAAUUUGGCUGUUCACUGUUUCGAUUAGAGGAGCGUGUAGUUUAAUUCGAUAAACCGCGAGAUACCUUACCCAAACUUGAAUCACCCAUCCGAGAUUGAAUGGUCUCGGGAGGGUAGACCGGUAUUGCAUGGCCGUCGUCAGUUCGUGUAUGAAACCUUUAACGGACCUAACCCGGGGGGUUAGCCGCGGAUGAAGUCAGGUCUUAUGAUCCCUAUGUUUGGGGAUAAUAUGCGCUACAUUUUCUUAUACAAUGGGAAACCUGAAAGGUGAACCCCCAAAGUAGGAGUUCGGUAGGUCAUUGUAAGAUGACCGAAAGUUGAAUUUAAUAGUAAUCGGAAAGUAGAGC
RNAcentral lists this ribosomal RNA (672 nucleotides) under Epizoanthus planus. RNAcentral's name for it is "partial small subunit ribosomal RNA". It matches the Rfam family "Bacterial small subunit ribosomal RNA", at positions 557 to 1355 of the family's 1533-position model. Lineage: Eukaryota; Metazoa; Cnidaria; Anthozoa; Zoantharia; Epizoanthidae. The record is from RNAcentral.